UCCCUGUAGUGUUGAGGAAUAGCAAAAAUGCCCCAGGCGUCGUUGCGGCUCUCAGCUUCCCUAAGCCCCACCCCUGUUUCCUCUCAUCAAAAGCUUCCUCCGCUGCCAUGCCUCACCACCCCCUUGAGCUUGAGGUUGAGCUUGAGGUUGAGCUCGAGAUUGGGCUUCACAAGAAGAAGAGGUUUUCUUUCAAAGGAUUUUACCCUGAAAUGCCGUCGCCCUGAGUACUUUGAACCACAGAAAUUCACUCCACCUGCUGAUAACUCCUUCAAUGGACAGUCGUCUGGGUUGUCAGGAAGGGUGUAUGUUGGUCACUCUAUCUUCAAAGGAAAAGCAGCACUAACAAUAGAGCCAAAAGCCCCUGAAUUUACUGCUUUAGAAUCAGGAGCAUGCAAGGUUGUAAAGGAUGGUUCGAUCCUUCUUCAGUUUGCUCCCGCAGUUGGUACUCGACAAUAUGAUUGGAACAGGAAGCAAGUCUUUUCCUUAUCAGUUGCUGAAAUUGGGGCUUUGAUGAGCCUUGGCAUGAAGGAUACGUGUGAAUUUUACCAUGACCCUUUUAAAGGGAGAAGUGAAGAGGGAAAGAUUAGAAAGGUUUUGAAGGUUGAGCCCCUUCCAGAUGGCUCUGGCUACUUUUUUAAUUUGAGUGUUUCAAAUCGGCCCCUGAACAUUGAUGAUAGCAUCUAUAUUCCUGUAACUAAGGCAGAAUUCGCAGUUAUUGUCUCAGCAUUCAAUCAAGUUUAAAAACUUUGGCUUGGGAGUUAGCCUGUCCUGAAUCUGGUUGACUUGGUCAGACUCGUUCAUCUUGCCAUACCUUUUGGGUUGGCAUGCUUUUGCCGAGUCAAUCAGGCCAGUAGAUACGUCUCAGCUGACCAAUGCAAACCAGCGGCGUGGUGCAGAACUCGAAUGGGGUCGAUGAUAUUAUUGUUCAUGAUAAGAGGGAUGCAAGAUUACCGUGAAUGAGCUGGAUUGGGGUUUUGAUCCAGGUGAAUGGAUUGUGAUACCUUCGGGUUUUAGAGCUAUCAUAUUUUACAGUUAGGAAAUCCGAACUGCCCAUUCAAAGUUGAUCUGUUUUGAAAUGUAAUGUAGCUUGCAGGUUUCGCGUGCAUAUAUAAUUUUGAGAGAGUGACAAAAGAGGUUCUUGUAGCAUGUUUUUACCAGUUAAAUAUGUUCACUAAAACUUACAAGUUGAAGCUAAAGUAUUUUCCUAACCGAUUGAAUUGCAAUUGAUGAUUGCUUUAGGCUUG
This is an RNA transcript of Amborella trichopoda, 1244 nucleotides long. It is a transcript of the gene named single-stranded DNA-binding protein WHY1, chloroplastic, with no coding region annotated. Lineage: Eukaryota; Viridiplantae; Streptophyta; Magnoliopsida; Amborellales; Amborellaceae. The record is from RefSeq and is a predicted model, not a curated record.